UACGUAGGUGGCAAGCGUUGUCCGGAUUUAUUGGGUUUAAAGGGUGCGUAGGCGGCUUUGUAAGUCAGUGGUGAAAUAUGGCAGCUCAACUGUCAAGGUGCCAUUGAUACUGCAGAGCUUGAGAACAGAUGAGGUAGGCGGAAUUGACGGUGUAGCGGUGAAAUGCUUAGAUAUCGUCAAGAACACCUAUAGCGAAGGCAGCUUACUAGGCUGUAACUGACGCUGAGGCACGAAAGUGUGGGGAUCAAACAGG
Molecule: ribosomal RNA, 253 nt
Filed under: uncultured bacterium
Lineage: Bacteria
Description: partial 16S ribosomal RNA
Rfam family: Bacterial small subunit ribosomal RNA
Source: RNAcentral